RNAcentral lists this ribosomal RNA (253 nucleotides) under uncultured bacterium. RNAcentral's name for it is "partial 16S ribosomal RNA". It matches the Rfam family "Bacterial small subunit ribosomal RNA", at positions 524 to 776 of the family's 1533-position model. The record is from RNAcentral.
UACGGGGGGGGCAAGCGUUGUUCGGAAUUACUGGGCGUAAAGCGCACGUAGGCGGAUAUUUAAGUCAGGGGUGAAAUCCCAGAGCUCAACUCUGGAACUGCCUUUGAUACUGGGUAUCUCGAGUAUGGAAGAGGUGAGUGGAAUUCCGAGUGUAGAGGUGAAAUUCGUAGAUAUUCGGAAGAACACCAGUGGCGAAGGCGGCUCACUGGCCCGGUACUGACGCUGAGGUGCGAAAGCGUGGGGAGCAAACAGG